CGGGGUGCAGCAGGCGCGAAAACUNUGCAAUACACGAAAGUGUGACAGGGUCAUCCCGAGUGCCGACCGCUGAGGUUGGCUUUUACCCAGUCUAGAAAGCUGGGGGAAUAAGGAGAGGGCAAGUCUGGUGUCAGCCGCCGCGGUAAUACCAGCUCUCCGAGUGGUGUGGACGUUUAUUGGGCCUAAAGCAUCCGUAGCUGGCUGAACAAGUCCCCUGUUAAACCCACCGAUUUAAUCGUUGGUCUGCGGGGGAUACUGCUCGGCUAGGGGACGAGAGAGGCAGACGGUAUUCCCGGGGUAGGGGUGAAAUCCUAUAAUCCCGAGAAGACCACCAGUGGCGAAGGCUGUCUGCUAGAACGCGCCCGACGGUGAGGGAUGAAAGCUGGGGGAGCGAACCGGAUUAGAUACCCGGGUAGUCCCAGCUGUAGACGGUGCAGACUAGGUGUUUGGACGGCCACGUGCCGUUCUAGUGCCGCAGGGAAGCUGUUAAGUCUGCCGCCUGGGGAGUACGAUCGCAAGAUUGAAACUUAAAGGAAUUGGCGGGGGAGCACAAGGGCGAAUUCGC
This 565-nucleotide ribosomal RNA is filed under the name uncultured archaeon. RNAcentral's name for it is "bacterial SSU rRNA". It matches the Rfam family "Archaeal small subunit ribosomal RNA", at positions 326 to 898 of the family's 1478-position model. The record is from RNAcentral.